This 253-nucleotide ribosomal RNA is filed under the name uncultured bacterium. RNAcentral describes it as "partial 16S ribosomal RNA". It matches the Rfam family "Bacterial small subunit ribosomal RNA", at positions 524 to 776 of the family's 1533-position model. The record is from RNAcentral.
UACGGGGGGGGUAAGCGUUGUUCGGAAUUACUGGGCGUAAAGGGCUCGUAGGCGGCCAACUAAGUCAGACGUGAAAUCCCUCAGCUUAACUGGGGAACUGCGUCUGAUACUGGAUGGCUUGGAUUCGGGAGAGGAAUGCGGAAUUCCAGGUGUAGCGGUGAAAUGCGUAGAUAUCUGGAGGAACACCGGUGGCGAAGGCGGCAUUCUGGACCGAUAUUGACGCUGAGAAGCGAAAGCCAGGGGAGCAAACGGG